GCCCCCCGGGACGCCGGGGGCCGGGGGACCAGCCUCUCUCUCUGCUCGGGGACCGGCCCAGCCCGGGCAGGGGAGCCCACGGACCUUCCCGUGGCUGGAGACGGAGACCCCCGCCAGCGCUCCCCGCCUCCGUCCGCGCCAGGGAGCCCACCCGGCCCAGGUUCCAGCCAUCGAAAAGUCCUUUAAGUUCUAGGACGCUGGCUGUCUGCCUGGCAGCGGUUGGGGAAGAAGGGGACUGCCAUGUGUAGGUCCACUCCCUCUCCUUGAUGUUAUUCAUCACAAUGGCUAGCUAGCGUUCCACCCACAGAUUUCUGUUGCAACCAGCCACCGUGUGCCCGGCACUGGGCUCGGGGGUGUGCACAUUAUCCUUUAAUCUCCGCGACAUGCCAUAGGAGGUACGUAUCUUUAUCCCAAUUUUUUAGGUAACAAAGACUGAGGCUUAGAGAGGUGGAAUAAAUUGCCAGAGGUCACCCAGGGGAUAAGAAACAAAUCCAGAGUUUAAGCACAAGUCUUACUCCAAGGCUAUUGCUCCUAAAUACGAUACAGUUCUCUCUGUCUCUCUUUGGAAAUGAACCAUCUGAUCCCAUCAAAAGCAAGAAAAAAGAAAAAGAACGACUGAACCGGAGUCCACCGCGCACACACCUGUUCUCCCAAGCAUGGAGAGGCAAGGUUAACCUUCCUGUUUGUCCCUGACUACUGGCUCAGGCUCGCUGAGAAAUCACCUGUUGGAAGCACCUGGAACAAGUCAACCUGCUGUGUGUGGAGAACAGCCACUCUCCCUUCCAAGCCCUGUGUGGUUGCUGCUUGCAGGUUCCUGGAGAACAGAGCCAACACUGGAAGGUUCUUCUUUUUGAGGACUCUCGACCACAUCUAUGCCUUCAAUUAUUACCAAACACGAGUUUAUCAUACUUCUAAAUAAAGCUCAACCUGGAUCUCCA
This is a long non-coding RNA of Homo sapiens (human), 938 nucleotides long. RefSeq lists it as uncharacterized. NCBI's taxonomy places the organism in Eukaryota, Metazoa, Chordata, Mammalia, Primates, Hominidae. The record is from RefSeq and is a predicted model, not a curated record. The transcript is spliced from 2 exons.